AGAGUUAGUCAUUAACAAGAUCGUGACACGUGUUAACUGAAUUAAUAAGAUGCUGACAUGUGUCAGAUAAUUAGUGGCAACCUUGGUUUUCAAAGUUAGCUAUUAACAAGAUCGUGACACGUAUUAACUGAAUUAAUAAGAUUUUGACAUGUGUUAGAAAUAGUGGUAAUAAAUUAUAUAAUUUAGUUUAAAUAUUUUCAAAAUUGAAAAAGAAAAUAAAAAUUCAGGAAAUUUAACAAUUACUUAGUAGUAAUCCUAAAAUAAAAAUGAUAGUAAUUAUAAAAUAAAAUUAUUAAUAAAAAAUUAUAAAAACUAGGUCUAAGGAAUUAAAAAAUAACAAAAAAAAAAUACAAUAAUUUAGUCAACUAUAAGUUAUUCUUAGAAAAUAUUCGCAUUAUCGUGAAUAUUAUGUAAUAACUAUUUGAAUAGCAGAUUAUUUAAUAAAUAACGUCAGAAUAAAAUGGCCAAUUUGUCAUCUACCAAAUAAAAAAAAGUGAAAAAUAUAGCAUAUUGAUUGAAAAAAUAAGAAAAAUAGGAUUAGGGGCAUGAAAAAUUACCUUUGGUGUUGUGAUGUUUUAGUGAUAAUGGUGGGUGGUGGCUACAUGUGGCUGAAAGUGGUGGCAAUGGUCGGAGACGGUGGUGUCACAAAUGGUGGUGGCG
Molecule: long non-coding RNA, 660 nt
Filed under: Capsella rubella
Lineage: Eukaryota; Viridiplantae; Streptophyta; Magnoliopsida; Brassicales; Brassicaceae
Description: long non-coding RNA (CRUB_LNC003686)
Source: RNAcentral